UGGGGAAUUUUGGACAAUGGGGGCAACCCUGAUCCAGCAAUGCCGCGUGUGUGAAGAAGGCCUUCGGGUUGUAAAGCACUUUUGUCCGGAAAGAAAACGCCGUGGUUAAUACCCGUGGCGUAUGACGGUACCGGAAGAAUAAGCACCGGCUAACUACGUGCCAGCAGCCGCGGUAAUACGUAGGGUGCAAGCGUUAAUCGGAAUUACUGGGCGUAAAGCGUGCGCAGGCGGUCCGCUAAGACAGAUGUGAAAUCCCCGGGCUUAACCUGGGAACUGCAUUUGUGACUGGCGGGCUAGAGUAUGGCAGAGGGGGGUAGAAUUCCACGUGUAGCAGUGAAAUGCGUAGAGAUGUGGAGGAAUACCGAUGGCGAAGGCAGCCCCCUGGGCCAAUACUGACGCUCAUGCACGAAAGCGUGGGGGAGCAAACAGGAUUCAGAUACCCUGGUAGUCCACGCCCUAAACGAUGUCAACUA
Molecule: ribosomal RNA, 473 nt
Filed under: uncultured bacterium
Lineage: Bacteria
Description: partial 16S ribosomal RNA
Rfam family: Bacterial small subunit ribosomal RNA
Source: RNAcentral